GGGUUGUGAGGUUAAGCGACUAAGCGUACACGGUGGAUGCCCUGGCAGUCAGAGGCGAUGAAGGACGUGCUAAUCUGCGAUAAGCGUCGGUAAGGUGAUAUGAACCGUUAUAACCGGCGAUUUC
This 124-nucleotide ribosomal RNA is filed under the name Escherichia coli. Its description in RNAcentral is "partial 23S ribosomal RNA". It matches the Rfam family "Bacterial large subunit ribosomal RNA", at positions 1 to 114 of the family's 2925-position model. Lineage: Bacteria; Pseudomonadati; Pseudomonadota; Gammaproteobacteria; Enterobacterales; Enterobacteriaceae. The record is from RNAcentral. RNAcentral also lists the same sequence under 3 other names.